Molecule: long non-coding RNA, 453 nt
Organism: Sarcophilus harrisii (Tasmanian devil)
Lineage: Eukaryota; Metazoa; Chordata; Mammalia; Dasyuromorphia; Dasyuridae
Exons: 3
Source: RefSeq, a predicted model, not a curated record
GUCUCUGAAGAAUCUGGCCAUGUCUCUCUAGAUCUCUAAUUCCACAUUCCUUAUAGAGAGAGCAUAGAGAAGAUUCCCAAGAAUUAAAGUCAAAAGCUCAAUAUUACAAAGCAAUUUGAUUUUUCUGGAAGAAGUGACCUAUGAUUUUUUCCAUUGAGUUCUAUAGGUUCUCUGAAGAUCACUUGCAUCCACCACCUUCCCUGACUCAACAAGUAGGCUUUUGAGCCAACUAUCACUCCUUCAACGGACCUUGUCACCUAGGCACCAACUUGCUGAGACUUGGAGCAAAAGAAAAUCACAGAAUUUGUAGCAGGAGAGUUCAAGAAUUCUAACUCCAGAAACAGAGAGAAAUUCACACAAUAGUCAAUUCUCACAUCACCUGGUAAUGGCAGAGACCCACAGCUUUGGUUAUCUCCAGAGAGUUGGUAAUUCCUAGCUACAGGGAAUCUAAAC